CCAAUAGCGUAUAUUAAAGUUGUUGCAGUUAAAAAGCUCGUAGUUGAAUUUCGGGGUUCAUCCGUUGGUCGGGCUUUUGGGUCUGUACUGGCGUGAUGGAUUCCUACCUUCUGAAUAACCAGCAUGUCAUUAAUUUGGUGCGCUGGGGAAGCAGGACUGUUACCUUGAAAAAAUUAGAGUGCUUAAAGCAGGCUAUUGCCUGAAUACAUUAGCAUGGAAUAAUGAAAUAGGACGCAUGGUUCUAUUUUGUUGGUUUCUAGGAUCACCGUAAUGAUUAAUAGGGAUAGUUGGGGGCAUUAGUAUUCAAUUGUCAGAGGUGAAAUUCUUGGAUUUAUUGAAGACUAACUUCUGCGAAAGCAUUUGCCAAGGAUGUUUUCAUUAAUCAAGAACGAAAGUUAGGGGAUCGAAGACGAUCAGAUACCGUCGUAGUCUUAACCAUAAACUAUGCCGACUAGGGAUCGGACGAUGUUAAUUUUUUAAUGACUCGUUCGGCGCCUUACG
Molecule: ribosomal RNA, 501 nt
Filed under: uncultured Glomeromycotina
Lineage: Eukaryota; Fungi; Glomeromycota
Description: partial small subunit ribosomal RNA
Rfam family: Eukaryotic small subunit ribosomal RNA
Source: RNAcentral